RNAcentral lists this ribosomal RNA (379 nucleotides) under uncultured bacterium. RNAcentral's name for it is "partial 16S ribosomal RNA". It matches the Rfam family "Bacterial small subunit ribosomal RNA", at positions 338 to 734 of the family's 1533-position model. The record is from RNAcentral.
CCUACGGGAGGCAGCAGUGGGGAAUAUUGCACAAUGGGGGAAACCCUGAAGCAGCGACGCCGCGUGAGGGAUGAAGGAUUUCGGUAUGGAAAGCUCUAUCAGCCGGGAAGAAAAUGACGGUACCUGACUAAGAAGCCCCGGCUACCUACGUGACAGAAGCCGCGGGAAUACGUGGGGGGCAAGCGUUAUCCGGUAUUACUGGGGGUAAAGGGAGCGUAAACGGGUGUGCAAGCCAGGUGUGAAAGCGCGGGGAUCAACCCCGGGACUGCAUGUGAAACUGUGUGGCUGGAGUGUCGGAGAGGCAGGCGGAAUUCGUGGUGUAGCGGUGAAAUGCGUAGAUAUUAGGAGGAACACCGGUGGCGAAGGCGGCCUGCCGGCC